RNAcentral lists this ribosomal RNA (233 nucleotides) under Klebsiella sp. V078. RNAcentral describes it as "partial 23S ribosomal RNA". It matches the Rfam family "Bacterial large subunit ribosomal RNA", at positions 2118 to 2350 of the family's 2925-position model. The record is from RNAcentral. Lineage: Bacteria; Pseudomonadati; Pseudomonadota; Gammaproteobacteria; Enterobacterales; Enterobacteriaceae.
UGAACAUUGAGCCUUGAUGUGUAGGAUAGGUGGGAGGCUUUGAAGCGUGGACGCCAGUCUGCGUGGAGCCAACCUUGAAAUACCACCCUUUAAUGUUUGAUGUUCUAACGUAGGCCCCUGACCGGGGUUGCGGACAGUGUCUGGUGGGUAGUUUGACUGGGGCGGUCUCCUCCCAAAGCGUAACGGAGGAGCACGAAGGUUAGCUAAUCCUGGUCGGACAUCAGGAGGUUAGU